This 253-nucleotide ribosomal RNA is filed under the name uncultured bacterium. RNAcentral describes it as "partial 16S ribosomal RNA". It matches the Rfam family "Bacterial small subunit ribosomal RNA", at positions 524 to 776 of the family's 1533-position model. The record is from RNAcentral.
CACGUAGGGCGCAAGCGUUGUCCGGAAUUAUUGGGCGUAAAGAGCUCGUAGGCGGUCUGUCGCGUCGGCUGUGAAAACUCGGGGCUCAACCCCGAGCCUGCAGUCGAUACGGGCAGACUAGAGUGCGGUAGGGGAGACUGGAAUUCCUGGUGUAGCGGUGAAAUGCGCAGAUAUCAGGAGGAACACCGGUGGCGAAGGCGGGUCUCUGGGCCGUAACUGACGCUGAGGAGCGAAAGCGUGGGGAGCAAACAGG